UACGGGGGGGGCAAGCGUUGUUCGGAAUUACUGGGCGUAAAGGGCUCGUAGGCGGCCAACUAAGUCAGACGUGAAAUCCCUCGGCUUAACCGGGGAACUGCGUCUGAUACUGGAUGGCUUGAGGUUGGGAGAGGGAUGCGGAAUUCCAGGUGUAGCGGUGAAAUGCGUAGAUAUCUGGAGGAACACCGGUGGCGAAGGCGGUUCUCUGGGCAUGACCUGACGCUGAGGAGCGAAAGUGUGGGGAGCGAACAGG
Molecule: ribosomal RNA, 253 nt
Filed under: uncultured bacterium
Lineage: Bacteria
Description: partial 16S ribosomal RNA
Rfam family: Bacterial small subunit ribosomal RNA
Source: RNAcentral